This 31-nucleotide non-coding RNA is filed under the name Mus musculus (house mouse). Lineage: Eukaryota; Metazoa; Chordata; Mammalia; Rodentia; Muridae. The record is from RNAcentral.
UGAGCAUCAGGUAUGUUGCCAUUAUAUGGUC